AACGAACGCUGGCGGCAGGCCUAACACAUGCAAGUCGAGCGCCCUUUCGGGGGAGCGGCGGACGGGUGAGUAACGCGUGGGAAUAUUCCCUUCUCUACGGAAUAGCCUCGGGAAACUGAGAGUAAUACCGUAUACGCGCUUUGGGGGGAAGAUUGAUCGGGGAAGGAUUAGCCCGCGUUGGAUUAGGUGGUUGGUGGGGUAAUGGCCUACCAAGCCGACGAUCCAUAGCUGGUUUGAGAGGAUGAUCAGCCACACUGGGACUGAGACACGGACCAGACUCCUACGGGAGGCAGCAGUGGGGAAUCUUAGACAAUGGGGGCAACCCUGAUAUAGCCAUGCCGCGUGAGUGAUGAAGGCCUUAGGGUUGUAAAGCUCUUUCAGCUGGGAAGAUAAUGACGGUACCAGCAGAAGAAGCCCCGGCUAACUCCGUG
RNAcentral lists this ribosomal RNA (431 nucleotides) under uncultured bacterium. Its description in RNAcentral is "partial 16S ribosomal RNA". It matches the Rfam family "Bacterial small subunit ribosomal RNA", at positions 29 to 507 of the family's 1533-position model. The record is from RNAcentral.